GAAGAGAUGGCUCAGUGGUUAAGAGCACUGACUGUUCUUCCAGAGGUCCUGAGUUCAAUUCCCAGCAACCACA
Molecule: transfer RNA, 73 nt
Filed under: Mus musculus (house mouse)
Lineage: Eukaryota; Metazoa; Chordata; Mammalia; Rodentia; Muridae
Description: tRNA-Asn
Source: RNAcentral